UCCAUUAUUGCUCUUUAUCUUAUCUUUCCAGCUGGCAUUUUGUCUUCUUUAUUCUAGAUGUACCUCUAGAAUAAUAUUAUCUUCUCCAUUGCACCUCGAACAUUGGUGGUCUGGAUAUUUAUGUCCAAUUAUUUUACAGUAUCUUGUUAACAGUUCGUCUGAAAUAAAUCCUUUUUUUUUUAUUGCUCUUGCGGUAGAUUAUUUUUCUGGGUUGAGUAGCGUCAUUAUCCAUUGUCUUACGUCUUCCAUAUCUGCUUGUCGUAGCUCUUUUGAAUUUGAGUAAAUCAUUUGAUGAUCUCUUGAAUAAUAGCUCCAUAUUGGGUUUCCGUUAGUAUAAUUAUUUGCUAAUUCUUGGAUAAUCGUAGCUAGUCCAAU
RNAcentral lists this long non-coding RNA (375 nucleotides) under Capsicum annuum. Its description in RNAcentral is "long non-coding RNA (CANN_LNC004943)". The record is from RNAcentral. Lineage: Eukaryota; Viridiplantae; Streptophyta; Magnoliopsida; Solanales; Solanaceae.